AACGUAGGGGGCCAGCGUUGCUCGGAAUUACUGGGCGUAAAGGGUCUGUAGGCGGUGCGGUAAGUCCGGAGUGAAAUCUCCAGGCUCAACUUGGAGGCUGCUUUGGAAACUGCCGUGCUCGAGUGCGGGAGAGGCGCGUGGAAUUGCAGGUGUAGCGGUGAAAUGCGUAGAUAUCUGCAGGAACACCAGUGGCGAAAGCGGCGCGCUGGACCGCAACUGACGUUGAGAGACGAAAGCUAGGGGAGCAAACAGG
RNAcentral lists this ribosomal RNA (253 nucleotides) under uncultured bacterium. RNAcentral describes it as "partial 16S ribosomal RNA". It matches the Rfam family "Bacterial small subunit ribosomal RNA", at positions 524 to 776 of the family's 1533-position model. The record is from RNAcentral.